This is a long non-coding RNA of Drosophila guanche, 893 nucleotides long. RefSeq lists it as uncharacterized. The record is from RefSeq and is a predicted model, not a curated record. NCBI's taxonomy places the organism in Eukaryota, Metazoa, Arthropoda, Insecta, Diptera, Drosophilidae. The transcript is spliced from 3 exons.
CGUACAUUUGGGACCCAACCAAAGGCAAAGGGCAAGCAAAUCAAAUUCAAGCUAAAGCAUAAACAAAUCAACGAACGACCAGUGUUGAGUGCAGAGAGAACACAAAAUACACAAGAAUACCAGAAGAAUGAGUAAAACUGAUGAGUAACAGCAACAAGUGCAUCAAAACUUGAAGCAAAUAUCACAUAUGGAACCCAAUAAAUUGUCCAAAGCCAUUCCUUCUCCCCUUAGAGCCCAGCGGAAUAUGACAGUGGUCCCCGAGUGGGUUGAGCUCUGGCACAGUGGCAUGGGGCAUGGCCAAUAAUGAGAACUUCCUACGGAAAGUUAAUACAGUUCUUAUGCCAAAAGUUUCACCAAGCCAUAGCCAAGGGGCAAAAUGUAACUCCCACUCCAGCCGCAGGUCUCUCCCCGCUAAUUAUUGGAAGGGUAGGACCAGAAAGAGCGGAACAAGUGCAGCUGGGGACACAUUUGACACAGUUUGACCAAGCGUAACAAACCGCGUUUAUCAAAUGGAACUCGAUUUGGUUUUGGUUUCGGUUUCCGUUUCGGUUUCGGUUCUGACUGUUGACGUGUCCGAAAAAUAAUAACACUCCCCCCAGCGGGAGCAGCAACCCACCACACCACCACCCCACCACCCCACUGACCCAAGCAGCCAAGCGACCCAUCAGCAUUUCCGCUCUAAUGAAAUUCUAUGCAAGAUGCAGUGCAGGUAGAGAGGGACAAACGCUCUGUGCUUCCUGCCUUUGUAUUUAUCUCUAACUUGUUUAAGCUGGCGUUUGACCUCCUUUACGAGGGCUUAACACCCGGAAUAUGCUUUCAAAGUAUUAUAAGCAUGGAAACAAAGGAUGUUCCUGCGGUUAUCGAUUAAAAAUCGAUACAGCAACAAAAUUAAA